Molecule: ribosomal RNA, 492 nt
Filed under: uncultured bacterium
Lineage: Bacteria
Description: partial 16S ribosomal RNA
Rfam family: Bacterial small subunit ribosomal RNA
Source: RNAcentral
AGUGAACGCUGGCGGUAGGCCUAACACAUGCAAGUCGAACGGCAGCACAGUAAGAGCUUGCUCUUACGGGUGGCGAGUGGCGGACGGGUGAGGAAUACAUCGGCAUCUACUUUUUCGUGGGGGAUAACGUAGGGAAACUUACGCUAAUACCGCAUACGACCUACGGGUGAAAGCAGGGGAUCUUCGGACCUUGCGCGAUUGAAUGAGCCGAUGUCGGAUUAGCUAGUUGGCGGGGUAAAGGCCCACCAAGGCGACGAUCCGUAGCUGGUCUGAGAGGAUGAUCGGCCACACUGGAACGGAGACACGGUCCAGACUCCUAAGGGAGGCAGCAGUGGGGAAUAUUGGACAAUGGGCGCAAGCCUGAUCCAGCCAUACCGCGUGGGUGAAGAAGGCCUUCGGGUUGUAAAGCCCUUUUGUUGGGAAAGAAAAGCAGCAGGUUAAUACCCCGCUGUUCUGACGGUACCCAAAGAAUAAGCACCGGCUAACUUCGUG